This 1022-nucleotide long non-coding RNA is filed under the name Salmo salar (Atlantic salmon). RNAcentral's name for it is "lncRNA (ENSSSAG00000096773.1)". The record is from RNAcentral. Lineage: Eukaryota; Metazoa; Chordata; Actinopteri; Salmoniformes; Salmonidae.
GUGUGUGUGUGUCUGGUGUGUGUGUGUGUGUGUGUGUUCUUCUGUUGGAGGUGUUCUAGAAACAGCAGCUCGGACUGUCAGAGCGGUCUGAUUGGUGAGGGGGGGGGGGGGGAAAACUUAGCUGUUAUUGGCAGAGAGAUUUCAAACCUCUCUUAUUGGUCUAUUAACCUAAUUAUGAUGUCACAAGGCAGGCCAAAAAAACUCCGCCCCAACCAAAAAACAGGAUUGAAAUUUCAGAGGGGUCUUUUCAAAUAACUCUUCCCACUAAAAUGACAUUAUCAAUUUCACAGUAUUAUUCCAACCUCAUAGCGUGGAAAUAUAUCAAUCACAGGAACGUUUUUUCACUGCCCUGGGCCUUUAAAAGAAGUUUAAUAAAAAAGUGACGAAUGUAAUAUUGUGUGGUAAAAAAAAAAAUGUUCUGUUGAAUUCUGUGUAAUUAUGAAUUUUGAUUUAAAAGAGAUGUUUUGAUUUGUAAAAUUCAUUUGAUCUGAAUUGAGAUGGAGAAAUAAAAAAAUAAAACGUUGAUUACCCCUAAAAAAAAUACUGAAAGGUUGAAUAAAAUGACAGAUAAAACUCGGUUCUGUUAUACUGCAGGUCUUUAUGUUCAGAUAAAAGGGGAGGUUUCCUUUAUGUUCAGAUAAAAGGGGAGGUUUCCUUUAUGUCCAGAUAAAAGGGGAGGUUUCCUUUAUGUUCAGAUAAAAGGGGAGGUUUCCUUUAUGUUCAGAUAAAAGGGGAGGUUUCCUUUAUGUCCAGAUAAAAGGGGAGGUUUCCUUUAUGUCCAGAUAAAGGGGAGGUUUCCUUUAUGUCCAGAUAAAGGGGAGGUUUCCUUUAUGUCCAGAUAAAAGGGGAGGUUUCCUUUAUGUUCAGAUAAAAGGGGAGGUUUCCUUUAUGUUCAGAUAAAAGGGGAGGUUUCCUUUAUGUCCAGAUAAAAGGGGAGGUUUCCUUUAUGUUCAGAUAAAGGGGAGGUUUCCUUUAUGUCCAGAUAAAAGGGGAGGUUUCCUUUAUGUCCAGAUAAAAGGGGA